AUGGACUGUACCGUACGAGCCCGCGUCAGGAGCCCGUCGCCGGCCGUCUGCCGCUUCUCCGGAGAGGGGCGGCGCCGCCAGGCGUCUAGGGUGUCCUUCCGGCCCAUGGCGUCCGCAACUCCCGUGGAGGAGCCCGCGGCGGCGGCGGCGGCGGUGGUUGAGGCGGAGCCCCGGCCGAGCGGCGCCUCCUUCAUCCGCCACCACCUCAGGAGCCUCGCCGCGUACCAGCCCAUCCUGCCCUUCGAGGUGCUAUCUGCUCGGCUGGGGCGUAAACCAGAGGAUAUAAUCAAGCUGGACGCCAAUGAAAAUCCAUAUGGUCCACCACCGGAGGUAGCUGCAGCAUUAGGAAAUUUAAAAUUCCCUUAUGUCUACCCUGAUCCUGAAAGCCGCCAUUUGCGUGCUGCUCUCGCUGAAGAUUCUGGGCUUGAAACUGAGCACAUACUUGUUGGAUGCGGUGCCGAUGAGCUAAUUGAUUUGAUUAUGAGAUGUGUACUUGAACCAGGCGACAAAAUUGUAGAUUGCCCUCCAACUUUUACCAUGUAUGAGUUUGAUGCUUCAGUCAAUGCUGCACUUGUCAUCAAAGUCCCAAGACUUCCUGAUUUCUCCCUAGACAUCGCAAACAUUGUCAAAAUGGUUGAACAGGAGAAGCCAAAAUGCAUAUUUUUGACAUCUCCUAACAACCCAGAUGGCAGUGUAAUCAAUGAUGAGGAUCUUUUAAAGAUCCUUGACCUUCCGGUACUUGUAGUGCUGGAUGAAGCAUAUGUUGAGUUUUCGAGCCUUCAAUCAAGGAUGACAUGGGUUAAGAAGCAUGAUAAUUUGAUUGUUCUCCGAACAUUUAGCAAACGAGCAGGUUUAGCUGGGCUCCGUGUGGGUUAUGGAGCAUUUCCUCUAAGCAUUAUUGAGUACUUAUGGCGGGCCAAGCAGCCUUAUAAUGUUUCUGUGGCAGCAGAAGUCUCUGCAUGUGCUGCCUUGCAGAACCCAGUCUAUUUGGAGAGCGUGAAAAAUCUGCUACUACAAGAGAGGGAGAGGCUGUAUAAUCUUCUCAAAGGAAUACCUUACCUGAAACCAUUUCCCAGUCAUGCUAACUUCAUUCUGUGUGAAGUCACGUCAGGAAAAGAUGCAAAGAAAAUAAAGGAGGAUCUUGCAAAGAUGGGAGUGAUGAUCCGCCACUACGACAAGAAGGAACUGAAGGGUUAUAUUCGUAUUUCAGUUGGAAAGCCUGAGCACACUGAUGCACUGAUGGAAGGCUUCAAAGCACUCAAACUUUGA
This 1269-nucleotide ribosomal RNA is filed under the name Triticum aestivum (bread wheat). Its description in RNAcentral is "partial small subunit ribosomal RNA". The record is from RNAcentral. Lineage: Eukaryota; Viridiplantae; Streptophyta; Magnoliopsida; Poales; Poaceae.